Sycon ciliatum is the source of this 2163-nucleotide long non-coding RNA. RefSeq lists it as uncharacterized. The record is from RefSeq and is a predicted model, not a curated record. The transcript has 3 exons. NCBI's taxonomy places the organism in Eukaryota, Metazoa, Porifera, Calcarea, Leucosolenida, Sycettidae.
UCUACAUACAAACAACAACAGCACUAUCAAAUUCCGCCAGCAGCAAUGAGCCAUUACCUGUUACAACAACUAUCAGUCUUGAGACCACUGGAGACGUGGGCUGCGAUAUAGUCGAUGCAUCAUCUCAAAAUGUGAAAAUAAAAUACUAUGUGGGAAACAAGAAGCAUAAUAGCUCCCUGACAGUACCGAAGAACACCAUUGCUAUCUUCACCUGCCCCAAAGGAAUGCACUUCAGCGAGGAGCAUGAAAGCUUGAGCGCAGUUACCUCGGUUUGCCAAGACUCCGGUGUUUGGGAUAACGAUACUCCAAUUUGCGAAUUUCCAUCUACUCGAAGUACUGGCGAAGAUACUGACACAUCGCUUACCCCAAUAAUAGCUUCAGUAUGUGGUGCAAUCGUCAUAAUAGCCAUAAUACUAUUUAUCUUUCUACGUUGGCGUCGGGGACUGACUUCGAAAGAAUGCCCUACAACAGGCGGUGGGGGCAUUUAUGAUGAAGCGAUAGAAGGAAGAGUUGCAACAACCCAAGUGCCCGACGGCGAAGUCGGAGCAGAGAUGACGGACAAUAACGCCUAUUCCCUAGGUGGAAGCGCUCUACCUGAACCGGAGCCUGCUCUGUAUUCUGAUAUCAAUGAAUUGAAGGAGACUGGCAUGGAUGAAUAUGAGGCCGUGGAAAACACAUAUGCAGAUCUGUCAAAGGACGCAGCAUCGGAUACCUGCAGCAAUGAAUAUGUUCACUGCACUCCACAGCCACAAUAGGGAACCACAAUCAACCUUUUAAAAGUAUUCGAGAAUCACAUUUCAACAUUCUGUACUACACAGCGACACCCGCGUUCUGCACGCUACUCUAGCGAACACUUUUGAACACAUAAUAUGAUUUCCUUUCGUCUGUCAUCGAAAUCAUCAUUUUCCAUUCUGAAUCGUGUCAUUGAUUCUUGGUCACCCUAUUCCAAUAAUUUUAACGUCAUUGGGUGUGUUUUAAUAUAAGUCACUUUCCACUGUCGUCUCGUUAGCUUUUAGUGACUAUUGGCCAUGUCACCUGAUCACACACGAAAGGUCUACUAUCUUACCAUUUCUCUAAUGUAUAUUUUUCGACACUUCGUCACCCACUGUUUCUGUUCACUCCAUCAUCAUCAUCAAUUGAACCCCUCGAUAGGCACAUGGCCUUUGGGUCAUUUCAUAAUAAUGAUAAUAAUAAUAAUAAUACUCAAAAUGCCAACAGAUGCUGUCAAUUCAAUUACUGUCUCUCCAAGCUCCAACAUUCAGGAGUAAACUUAAAAAUGUGUAUAACGCACUCAGCUCCUUUCUAAACAUCUAAGCAUGUCAUAGGUUUCAGUAAAAAAUGCAUAGUUCAUAUGCCAUGGCAUUUAUGAGGCACAUUUAUGUAUCUUGGUAUAGUUUUUCUGUCUGGCCCCCUCAAAAAAUUGUCUUUCGGGCUCCCAAAUCUCCCUUCUCACCACAUUUCAAUUGUUCCAUUACUAAUGAUUUUGCCAGGUUAACCAAAACGAUAGAAUUUUUCAUUUCAUUUUCAUUUCACAAGAGAGAGCUUGGAAGCUGUGUUUCAACACCGAGUGUUCGCGUAUUUACUAUCAUCACGUAACUGUUUUCAUUUCACCAUUUUCAAAGGAAAUUACCUAUUCAAACGUCUACAAUGUAAUACAAGUAUUGUCACAUUUUUCAUUCCAUGAGCAGAAGAAAGCAUUUUUUCCAAUUUCAAUCAAGAUAAUUGUUUCAAGACCGUUGUUCCAACGAGGCUGUACAGUUUUUCAAUACCAGCAAUAGCCAUUUUCCGUUUUCACUGCUUCCAAUCUCGACUGUCAGACAUAUACCCAUACUUUAUCUUUCUACACCAAUAACUGUCUUUAGAACUUUUACUUUUUUAGGCGCCUUAGAUUGGACAAAACCAAUUGCAAAAACAUUGCCCGUUUGCAUCUUUCCCCUCGUAACAAUAAAGACAUUGUAUUUGCAUUGCCUUUAUUUCGCGUGAUGCCUUGGUCGCCAUGACCCUUUCUUUUCAUUUGCCUGCAAACUCCUGCGGCGGACUCUGCACAUGUAGGGGUAUCGCUUGUAUCCAGUAUAUGUAUUAUGCUAUGCAUAAGAAUGACCACCGUUUAUUGUUUACCACAUUGUUCCAUGAUGUGUGCAAGCUCCACUACAGCCACUUCAU